GAUGAACGCUGGCGGCGUGCCUAAUACAUGCAAGUCGAACGAACAGACGAGGAGCUUGCUCCUCUGACGUUAGCGGCGGACGGGUGAGUAACACGUGGAUAACCUACCUAUAAGACUGGGAUAACUUCGGGAAACCGGAGCUAAUACCGGAUAAUAUAUUGAACCGCAUGGUUCAAUAGUGAAAGACGGUUUUGCUGUCACUUAUAUAUGGAUCCGCGCCGCAUUAGCUAGUUGGUAAGGUAACGGCUUACCAAGGCAACGAUGCGUAGCCGACCUGAGAGGGUGAUCGGCCACACUGGAACUGAGACACGGUCCAGACUCCUACGGGAGGCAGCAGUAGGGAAUCUUCCGCAAUGGGCGAAAGCCUGACGGGGCAACGCCGCGUGAGUGAUGAAGGUCUUCGGAUCGUAAAACUCUGUUAUUAGGGAAGAACAAAUGUGUAAGUAACUAUGCACGUCUUGACGGUACCUAAUCAGAAAGCCACGGCUAACUACGUG
Molecule: ribosomal RNA, 497 nt
Filed under: uncultured bacterium
Lineage: Bacteria
Description: partial 16S ribosomal RNA
Rfam family: Bacterial small subunit ribosomal RNA
Source: RNAcentral